RNAcentral lists this long non-coding RNA (1717 nucleotides) under Mus musculus (house mouse). Its description in RNAcentral is "long non-coding RNA chr12:78495906-78497623". Lineage: Eukaryota; Metazoa; Chordata; Mammalia; Rodentia; Muridae. The record is from RNAcentral.
UUAUAUCUUGGGUAUCCUAGGAUUGGGGCUAAUAUCCACUUCCCCUAACUUCCAUCGGGGUCCCCAGCCUCAGUCCAAGGCUUGGCUGUGAGUAUCAGCAUCUGUCUCACUCAGCUGUUGGUAGAGCCUCUCAGAAGACAGCCAUGCUAGGCUCCUGACUACAAGCUCAACAUGGCAUCAGAAGUAGUAUCAAGGCCACCCACCUAUCUUCAGAAGUUUUGACCCAGAAUUGUUCCUACCUAAAGGAAAUGCAAAAUUGAGCAGAAAUUGAAGGAAAGGGCAUCCAGUGACCAGCCCAACUUGGGAUCCAUCCUAUACACAGGCACCAAACCCUGACACUAUUGCUGAAAUUUGGCUUUAUAUACUUAGAAUUUAUAGUAUAUAUAUAACUUUGGGGCAAGCCCAACAACUUAGCACAAGCAGUCUUUUAGAAGAUAAAGAUAGCACUAUCAAAUGUAUAAUUGAAUAUUUACAUUCCACAAGACAUAUCUGGUUGAAAAUAAACUUGGGUUAGUCAGAAGACACAUAGAAAAUUUAAAUUGGGGUUAGCAAAUGUUAGUGAAAUAUUCAUGAAUUAGUGAAGCUACCAAAUUGGAAGGGUAUCUUUUUGUAUAUACAUUUUAUAAUGCUAUUAUAACCAUUAUAGAAAACAUUCUGAGUUUUUGAAAUAAAGUCAUUCUAAGAUUUUACAUUUAUAACCAUUAUUAUAGGUUAGUAUGUUCUAAUAAUAGAUUAGAUCCUCAGAAAUUUUUUGAGGGCUAUAGAAAUGAAUCAGCAGUUAAGGGUAUGUGCUACCCUCUGGAGAACCUGAGUUUGAUUACCAGCACCAAUAUUAGAUAGCUCACAACAGCCUUUAACUCCAGCUCAAGGGGGAGCCAAGCCUUCUGGCCUUUGUGGGCAUUUGAACUCUUGUGCACAUAUCUACAAAUAGAUACAAACAUGUAUACAAAAUUAAAAGUUUGAAAGAUAAUAAAAUACAAUCUCUUAAGAAUUGUUUGAAUAAUGUUUCUCUUCAGUUCUCCCAAGGAUUUACAAAAUUACUACAUAUGAAAGAAGAUAAUUAUCACAUAUGAUAGAUGUAAAUUAUUGUAGCCUAAUUUUCUAAAGCACCUAAUUUGAAAAUAGCACCAAAAUGAUAUAAGUAGAUGUCUUCAUAGUAGGACCCAGGAACUGUCUUACUGGCUGGGAUUUGGUAUUCAUUUGUAAGUAGUAGCAGUACUGUGUAGAAUUAAAUUGUUAUAUUCCCAACUACAUGUCAGGAUCCAUCUUUAUUUUAAAGGAAUAACAGAAAACACCAGAGGUCACAAUUUUUGUUUAAGUUAAAUAUAUUUGUGUAUGUGUGUGUUUGCUGAAGUGUGGAAUACCUUACUCACUGUACUAUAUGGGUUGAAAAUAUUGCACAGGAUUUAUAAGUUAGCACAGUUAAUUACCAGGUCUUGCUAUGUAGUCAGGCUUGUACCCAGCUCUUCUUCUGAUUCAUUAUGAAUAUGUAAUUUAGAAAUGCACAUCCCAAGAAGUACCAUAUUGGAACUAUGAGAACAAAUCCCACCAUAAUAAAAUAAAUUGCAAAAAAGAAAUUCUAAAACAUAGAAGAUUAGAAACAUCAGGUUAUAAGCACAUUGGCUUUACCCUUCCUUCAACUCCUUUUAAAUUAGAUCAAGUUAUUUUUUCUUAAAAACGAAUUGAAAUAAAGGUGACUAUACUACUGUCUAUAACC